AUUUAAAUAGCUCAAUUAAGAGCAUAAUAUUGAAGAUAUUAAGAUAGCAUGAAUAUGCUUUUAAGUA
This 67-nucleotide transfer RNA is filed under the name Staphylinidae sp. BMNH 1274171. RNAcentral's name for it is "tRNA-Phe". Lineage: Eukaryota; Metazoa; Arthropoda; Insecta; Coleoptera; Staphylinidae. The record is from RNAcentral.